Molecule: small RNA, 101 nt
Filed under: Escherichia coli
Lineage: Bacteria; Pseudomonadati; Pseudomonadota; Gammaproteobacteria; Enterobacterales; Enterobacteriaceae
Description: partial RtT sRNA
Rfam family: RtT RNA
About the family: This family represents a bacterial cis-regulatory element known as RtT RNA. The exact function of RtT is unknown although it is thought that it may be involved in changing the cellular response in relation to amino acid starvation.
Source: RNAcentral
UCGACCAAGGUUCGACUCGAGCGCCAGCGAGAGAGCGUUGCCGCAGGCAACGACCCGAAGGGCGAAGCGCGCAGCGUUGAGUAAUCCUUCCCCCACCACCA